RNAcentral lists this ribosomal RNA (253 nucleotides) under uncultured bacterium. RNAcentral's name for it is "partial 16S ribosomal RNA". It matches the Rfam family "Bacterial small subunit ribosomal RNA", at positions 524 to 776 of the family's 1533-position model. The record is from RNAcentral.
UACAGAGGAGCCAAGCGUUGUCCGGAUUGACUGGGCGUAAAGCGCACGCAGGCGGUCUGGCGCGUGGGGUGUGAAAUCUGGCCGCUUAACGGCCAGGCGCCAUCCCAUACGGCUAGACUGGAGGGCUGCAGAGGUCGAUGGAAUUGCCGGUGUAGUGGUGAAAUGCGUAGAGAUCGGCGGGAACACCCAGGGGGAAACCAGUCGACUGGGCAGCACCUGACGCUGAGGUGCGAGAGCGUGGGGAGCGAACCGG